This 492-nucleotide ribosomal RNA is filed under the name uncultured bacterium. Its description in RNAcentral is "partial 16S ribosomal RNA". It matches the Rfam family "Bacterial small subunit ribosomal RNA", at positions 29 to 507 of the family's 1533-position model. The record is from RNAcentral.
AGUGAACGCUGGCGGUAGGCCUAACACAUGCAAGUCGAACGGCAGCACAGUAAGAGCUUGCUCUUACGGGUGGCGAGUGGCGGACGGGUGAGGAAUACAUCGGAAUCUACUUUUUCGUGGGGGAUAACGUAGGGAAACUUACGCUAAUACCGCAUACGACCUACGGGUGAAAGCAGGGGAUCUUCGGACCUUGCGCGAUUGAAUGAGCCGAUGUCGGAUUAGCUAGUUGGCGGGGUAAAGGCCCACCAAGGCGACGAUCCGUAGCUGGUCUGAGAGGAUGAGCAGCCACACUGGAACUGAAACACGGUCCGGACUCCUACGGAAGGCAGCAGUGGGGAAUAUUGGACAAUGGGCGCAAGCCUGAUCCAGCCAUACCGCGUGGGUGAAGAAGGCCUUCGGGUUGUAAAGCCCUUUUGUUGGGAAAGAAAAGCAGCAGGUUAAUACCCCGCUGUUCUGACGGUACCCAAGGAAUAAGCACCGGCUAACUUCGUG